Small nuclear RNA from Sorex fumeus (smoky shrew), 104 nucleotides. NCBI's taxonomy places the organism in Eukaryota, Metazoa, Chordata, Mammalia, Eulipotyphla, Soricidae. The record is from RefSeq and is a predicted model, not a curated record.
AUACUAGGUUUGGUAAUACAUAUAUUAAAAUUGAAAUGAUACAGAGGUUAGCAUGGUCCUUGCACAGAGAUGACAUGAAAUCUUGUAAAGCGUUCCAUAUUUUU